Molecule: long non-coding RNA, 339 nt
Organism: Leptidea sinapis
Lineage: Eukaryota; Metazoa; Arthropoda; Insecta; Lepidoptera; Pieridae
Exons: 2
Source: RefSeq, a predicted model, not a curated record
AGUAAAUUUCCAAAAGGCGUGACGCAUAUUAUACCUUAUAUUAUAGAUCAUCUUUGUUGAUUGAUAUUAUGAAACUUUUUGUGUUUUUAUUUUUUGUUUGUUCAUCCUUGUAUUGUUUAACGUCGGCCAGAAAAUUAAAAAACAAUGAAUGGAGAAGGUCGCUUAUAUCUUCAAAAGCUUUAAGAGCUUUGAGACCCGGCGCCGCAGCUAAACGGCGAAUUGUUCAUUUCGGAAGAUUGCCUUCAGUUUUUUGACCAGAAAUAUGUCAGUGGUGAAUAUAAUGUAAGAAUUCUCGUGUUAUCUAAAAGAAGCCUAAUAAAGAUAUAAAAUUCAAAUCAA